AUGCUUUCUGUGUUGGAGAUGAAGGGGUUCCCUGAAAAGUUUAUUCAGUGGACUAAGGCAGUUACUUACAAUGGGAAAGUUGCUAUUACUUUGAAUGAUAUGAUAGGCAAAUACUUUACUACUAGGAAAGGACUUAGACAGGGAGAUCCCUUUUCCCCCCUAUUGUUCAAUAUAGCGGCUGAUGUUCUGGUGACCUUGGUGAAAAGGGCGCAGGAGCAAGGUUUUAUUAAAGGUUUAGUUCCCCAGCUGUAUGACGGCGGCCUUUCUAUAUUACAAUAUGCGGAUGAUACUAUUUUUAUGACUGAGGAUGAUUUAGAGGGUGCUAGAAACUUAAAAAUUAUCUUGUGUGUGUUCGAGCAUCUGACUGGUCUAAAAAUUAAUUUUCUGAAGAGCGAGGUUUAUUGUUUUGGUGGUGCUGAACCAAAAUGGAAUGAUUAUGCUCAGAUUUUUACGUGUGCUAUUGGUGAGUUUCCUUUUGGGUAUUUGGGUCUUCCUUUACAUUAUAAGAGGCUUGGUAAUAGGGAUUGGAAAUCUGCAGAGGAGAAGUGUGAAAGGAAAGCAGGUACUUGGCAGGGGAGCUUGCUUCCUAUGGGGAGGAGGCUAAUCCUUGCAGAAACCUGCAUGAGUAACAUUCCCAGUCACAUGCUCUCUUUUUUACCAAAAGGCGUGGGUAAAAGAUUUGACUUUUUCCGAGCUCGGUUGGUCUGGCAAGAAAAGGAGGGUGUGCGUAAAUAUCAUCUGGUAAACUGGAUUGAUGUGUGCCAACCUAGAGAUCAGGGUGGCCUGGGAGUUACUAAUUUAGAUAUAAAGAAUAUAAGUCUUUUGUGCAAGUAG
This 834-nucleotide ribosomal RNA is filed under the name Triticum aestivum (bread wheat). Its description in RNAcentral is "partial small subunit ribosomal RNA". The record is from RNAcentral. Lineage: Eukaryota; Viridiplantae; Streptophyta; Magnoliopsida; Poales; Poaceae.